RNAcentral lists this ribosomal RNA (443 nucleotides) under uncultured bacterium. RNAcentral's name for it is "partial 16S ribosomal RNA". It matches the Rfam family "Bacterial small subunit ribosomal RNA", at positions 338 to 795 of the family's 1533-position model. The record is from RNAcentral.
CCUACGGGAGGCAGCAGUGGGGAAUAUUGGGCAAUGGGCGCAAGCCUGACCCAGCAACGCCGCGUGAAGGAAGAAGGCUUUCGGGUUGUAAACUUCUUUUAUUAGGGACGAAGCAAGUGACGGUACCUGAUGAAUAAGCCACGGCUAACUACGUGCCAGCAGCCGCGGUAAUACGUAGGUGGCAAGCGUUAUCCGGAUUUACUGGGUGUAAAGGGCGUGUAGGCGGGAGUGCAAGUCAGAUGUGAAAACUAUGGGCUCAACCCAUAGCCUGCAUUUGAAACUGUACUUCUUGAGUGCUGGAGAGGCAAUCGGAAUUCCGUGUGUAGCGGUGAAAUGCGUAGAUAUACGGAGGAACACCAGUGGCGAAGGCGGUCUGCUGGACAGCAACUGACGCUGAGGCGCGAAAGCGUGGGGAGCAAACAGGAUUAGAUACCCGUGUAGUC